UGAGUGUCUGCAGCUGUAGGGGGAGUUUCUCUGCCCCGCUCGCACCAUAUAUCUUUAACCUCUAAUGCUGCUGACCCUUCCCUCCAUCGCUUUCAUUUACUGUGCUCAGCGCCCUCGGGCUCCCCCCGCUCCUCGUGGGUCGGGGGCCGAACUCCCCCCGCGGCCCCCGUGCGGGUGGGGCCGGGGCGCUCCUCCUCUGCAGCGGAGAGGGAAAGGGAAAGCGAAAGGGAAAGAGCAGGCGAUGUCCCCGCAGUGGGGCCGGGGCAGGCGGCACACGCAGCCCGCAGCGGGGGGCAGCACAGCCAAAAGCUUUCUUGAGGAGGUCGGUAAACAUGGCAGUGACUGUCCCAGUCUGCGUGGCUUUUCUUCUGAGAUAAACAACGCGGUACAAAAUAGCUGACGUUUCACGUGCUGCAGUUGCAGCAUCUUCCUCUGAAGGAGCACUGCGGUUAAUGAUGCACGCACGUGGUCAUACCCAGGAGAUGCACAGGGUGAGGUCCCACCAGGACACCCCUCACCACGGGGAUGCAGCAGUUGAUUCUGGGGUCCCGUGGCAGCUCCACAUCCACAGUGACCAAAGGGCCCACAGGGACAGUGGCCCUGGAGGUAGCUGGUGACUGAAGACUGCUGGAUUGCUCCAUACCUGGAUGAGAUGUGUGAGGUCGCCGGGGAUGCUGGUGGCUGUGGGUCUCCUGAUGACCACAGCCAAGGCAGGCCAGGUUGGAUGGGGCCUUGGCAACCUGAGCUGGAUUUCAGCCUCCAGAUUUCAGCCCCCCAAAUGUGCCAAGCGUGAACCUUCAGCGAGAGCUUCAUCCACGCAACCCAUGCUGGACUAACUCAUCCCAGUCCAACCGUUCCCUGCAGCAGGAGUUUUGCGUUCAUGGAAGCACCUGGUGUAUUAGAAGUUGGUUUUGGAAUGCACUCACAGUGCCAACAGCCACAGUGACCGUCCUGCUGCCGGGCUGAGCAGUGGGGGGCUCUGCACUGGGGGAUGGAGCCUGAGCUGUGGCCUUGGGACCUGGCUGAGUUUCCCUGCUUCCAGCUGGGGGAUGGGGACAUCAGGAACAGGACCCAUCUAGGAACAGGAGCAGGUGCUGCCUUGCUUACCAUGGGGCUUUAAAGGCCAGGCUCACCCCAGCAAGGCAGUGGGUCCUCAGUUAGCUGCCCAGCUCCUUGUAAGGUCAUAUUUGUCAUCUCAAAAUACAGUUUGCUGUAGAACAGAGAAUAUUUAGAAGGGAUUUGAUAAGUAACAUCUGCUGCUGUACUGAAAUUUCAGUUCGAAGUGCUAAAAACUUUAAAAAGAAAGAGGUUUGGGUAAAAAUAAAAGGUCUCUGGAGAGGUCUCCUUGGCAGGAUCCUCCUCUCCUCCUUACACACAGCAGAUUUGUUCAUGUUUGCCAUUAUCCAUCAAACCAGAGCGCAGCAAAGGGCAGCUUUCAAGAGAUGAACCUGGAGGAGAUAAUAUUUCACACCGCAUAAAAUGCACCUCGGGAAUUUUCAGUUCUUCUUCCCUGUUACAUUACAAGGGCCUUCAUAAAAAGUGUCACAGCUCACGAGCUAAAAAAGAAAAAGAAGAAAAGAGAAAAAAAAAAAAAAAAGCAGCAGCUUGUGGCUUUGGAUGCAUUCAGUGCGCGUUUGUGGUCGGCGUUUCCCAGGCUGCUCGGGGGUGAGCGCCAGGUCGGCCCUCGCACGGCGCUCUGCAGGCGCUGUUUCUGUAUGAGUGAUAGCAGGCACUGAACGGCAGCACUGCGGCUGAAGGCUCCAUCCUGCCCAGGGGGUUGGGAUGGGGAUGCAGCUCCCAGCCGCCCCGCUGCUGCUGCUGUGUUCAAUGAGGUGGGAGUGGGCGCUAACCCGGGGUUUGAGGGAUAUAAGUAGGUUUUGCCUCCUCUAACGGAGAGGUUUGGCUUCAUCCUCGUUCAACUUCACUGCCACAAGGUGAGAUGGGGAACGGAUGGGUGAGCGUACAAAUGAGGAGGUGCUGCAGAGCAGCCUCAGUGCACAAUGUGGGGCAAUGUAAGUCACCGAGUGCUGCCGUAGGAAGAGGUGGGAGGCUCUGGUUUGGCAGUUACUAUAGCAAUUAACCCAAGCCCAGGGUUCCCCUGGGUACAGCCCUGGCGGUGCCUGCAUGCUCGCUGCAGAUGGGUUGUUGUGGUGCUGGGGUGUACUUGUGUGCUUGAUCUGUGUGUAAACACAAGAAGGCAGAUAUACAAACACUGCCCUGCACUCAACCUGGCUGCUCUAAAACAAACCAUCAUUAGAGGGAGGCAGUCCAGGAGGUCCAACCCUGACGCACACGGCUGUGCCUGCUGCCAGCCUGCUGCACCGAUGUGUCUUGCUUCCACAGAGCUCAAUUCACCGCACCAGAAGUAGUCCUAAAACCCAACACAAGGGACAGAUCCUUUGGUUUUCCAUAUUUUCUCCCCUGGGUAGGAAACAGGUCAGGUCUGCCAGCAGAACAGACCGCAGCAGAUGGGUUGCUUUCCUACUGCACUUUUUUGCAUGAAGGAAGAUGAUACCUUACACGUGAGGUGCCACCUCAGUCAGUCACUGCACAAUGCCUUUCCUUGUCCCCUCCAUGCCCUCAGCAGUCAGACAUCUGACUCCGAUUGCUCUCUUUCCCACUUGAUGUAAGGAGUAUUGUGCACGAAGAGAAGUGCACGGAGGUGAAACCCUCUGAGAAACAUUGCGGCCACUUCUCUUUUCCCAUCAGCAGAUAUUGCUUCAGUUCCCAUUUCCUACUAUUGACUUUUGUUGCCUUUGGGCCCUGAUCACUGGCUGCUUGCUAAGGAUUUCUGAGCCUUGGACCAUGACCUAAUUUCACUAUUUAAAAACAGAUCUUCAGUAUUCCUAUUGUGCUUUGUCUUUGAAUGGGCAUUUCUGCAAAACAGUUCCAUUUUCUCUGCCUGCAAGCAACACAAGAUCGAGCAAGGCGCUCACACCGUGGUACCAGCAGGGCCCAGCCAUGGGAACAAUCCCUGUCCCCCCCAUCCGGAGCCCUCUGCCC
This 3003-nucleotide long non-coding RNA is filed under the name Gallus gallus (chicken). Its description in RNAcentral is "lncRNA (ENSGALG00010017319.1)". Lineage: Eukaryota; Metazoa; Chordata; Aves; Galliformes; Phasianidae. The record is from RNAcentral.